AACGAACGCUGGCGGCAUGCCUAACACAUGUAAGUCGAACGAAGUCUUCGGACUUAGUGGCGCACGGGUGCGUAACGCGUGGGAAUCUGCCCUUGGGUGCGGAAUAACUUCUCGAAAGGGAUGCUAAUACCGCAUAAUGUCGUAAGACCAAAGAUUUAUCGCCCAAGGAUGAGCCCGCGUAAGAUUAGCUAGUUGGUGGGGUAAAAGCCUACCAAGGCGACGAUCUUUAGCUGGUCUGAGAGGAUGAUCAGCCACACUGGGACUGAGACACGGCCCAGACUCUUACGGGAGGCAGCAGUGGGGAAUAUUGGACAAUGGGCGAAAGCCUGAUCCAGCAAUGCCGCGUGAGUGAUGAAGGCCCUAGGGUUGUAAAGCUCUUUUACCAGGGAUGAUAAUGACAGUACCUGGAGAAUAAGCUCCGGCUAACUCCGUGCCAGCAGCCGCGGUAAU
Molecule: ribosomal RNA, 450 nt
Filed under: uncultured bacterium
Lineage: Bacteria
Description: bacterial SSU rRNA
Rfam family: Bacterial small subunit ribosomal RNA
Source: RNAcentral